RNAcentral lists this ribosomal RNA (301 nucleotides) under uncultured bacterium. Its description in RNAcentral is "partial 16S ribosomal RNA". It matches the Rfam family "Bacterial small subunit ribosomal RNA", at positions 509 to 807 of the family's 1533-position model. The record is from RNAcentral.
CAGUCGCCACGGUAAUACGAAGGGGGCUAGCGUUGUUCGGAUUUACUGGGCGUAAAGCGCACGUAGGCGGACUUUUAAGUCAGGGGUGAAAUCCCGGGGCUCAACCCCGGAACUGCCUUUGAUACUGGGAGUCUUGAGUUCGAGAGAGGUGAGUGGAAUUGCGAGUGUAGAGGUGAAAUUCGUAGAUAUUCGCAGGAACACCAGUGGCGAAGGCGGCUCACUGGCUCGAUACUUACGCUGAGGUGCGAAAGCGUGGGAAGCAAACAGGAUUAGAUACCCCAGUAGUCCCUGUCUCUUAUAC